Aplysia californica (California sea hare) is the source of this 656-nucleotide long non-coding RNA. RefSeq lists it as uncharacterized. NCBI's taxonomy places the organism in Eukaryota, Metazoa, Mollusca, Gastropoda, Aplysiida, Aplysiidae. The transcript is spliced from 3 exons. The record is from RefSeq and is a predicted model, not a curated record.
CACCGUAUUCGCACCUACCAAUGACGCCUUCAGCAAAAUCAGCCCAGACGCUCUCACAUACUUGAACAACAACCCAGACUUGUUGGAACAGGUCCUGCUGUACCACAUCGUCAAACAGACAACACUGUACAGUAUCGGAAUGAGACACGCCAUGAUCUUCCAGACCGCUGACCAGCACCGGGACAGCAUCAUGCUUAUUGAGGACGGCAACGACAACAUCUACAUGAACCACGCCAGAGUGGAUGACCGAGACCUCAGUGCCACCAACGGAGUUAUCCACACAAUCGAGGAGGUGUUGAUUCCUACCAACAUUCUGAUUGCCAUCGAAGACCAAGGUCUGAUGGUCGGGUAGAUCUGCCCUGUGACGUCAAGUAGAUCCAUGUUGUGACGUCAUCUAGAUCUGUGCUGUGACGUCAUGUAGAUCCGUGAUGUGACGUCAGGCAGGCAUAUGGAUCUGUGCUGUGACGUCGGGUGGAUCUAUCAAGCUACGAGAGAAAUGAAAAAGAGAAGGAAAGAACUUUGAAAAUCUGAACUCGAUAGCUAAACUUUCGAAAUCCCGUUUUAAUAAAAAUCGUAUUUUCAUAAAGUGGUUUAUAAUACCGGAAUCGCAAUGUUUUGUGGUGGGUGCGGGGUUGUUAUUUUUUGUUUGUUUGGGG